This 431-nucleotide ribosomal RNA is filed under the name uncultured Elusimicrobium sp. RNAcentral describes it as "bacterial SSU rRNA". It matches the Rfam family "Bacterial small subunit ribosomal RNA", at positions 958 to 1385 of the family's 1533-position model. Lineage: Bacteria; Pseudomonadati; Elusimicrobiota; Elusimicrobia; Elusimicrobiales; Elusimicrobiaceae. The record is from RNAcentral.
AACGCGAAGAACCUUACCUGGGCUUGAACUACGGAUGGUAAGCUGUUGGAAACAGUGGCUGACCCGCAAGGGAGUCCGCAGAGGUGCUGCAUGGUUGUCGUCAGCUCGUGUCGUGAGAUGUUGGGUUAAGUCCCGCAACGAGCGCAACCCCUAUUCGAUGUUGCUAAUCCCGCAAGGGAUGCACUCUUCGAAAACUGCCUUCGAUAAGAAGGAGGAAGGUGGGGACGACGUCAAAUCCUCAUGGCCCUUAUGUCCAGGGCUACACACGUGUUACAAUGGCCGGUACAAUGGGAAGCAAUGCCGUAAGGUGGAGCCAAACCCACAAAGCCGGCCCCAGUUCAGAUUGUGGGCUGCAACUCGCCCACAUGAAGGCGGAAUCGCUAGUAAUCGCUGAUCAGCAGGCAGCGGUGAAUACGUUCCCGGGCCUUGUA